AUACGGAGGGUGCAAGCGUUAUCCGGAUUUAUUGGGUUUAAAGGGUGCGCAGGCGGCGAUGUAAGUCAGUGGCGAAAGGCUGCCGCUUAACGGUAGGACUGCCAUUGAUACUGCAUUGCUUGAGUAUGGUUGAGGUAAGCGGAAUGUGUGGUGUAGCGGUGAAAUGCAUAGAUAUCACACAGAACACCGAUUGCGAAGGCAGCUUACUAAGCCAUUACUGACGCUGAUGCACGAAAGCGUGGGUAGCGAACAGGAUUAGAAACCCUAGUAGUCC
Molecule: ribosomal RNA, 274 nt
Filed under: uncultured bacterium
Lineage: Bacteria
Description: partial 16S ribosomal RNA
Rfam family: Bacterial small subunit ribosomal RNA
Source: RNAcentral